Molecule: ribosomal RNA, 497 nt
Filed under: uncultured bacterium
Lineage: Bacteria
Description: partial 16S ribosomal RNA
Rfam family: Bacterial small subunit ribosomal RNA
Source: RNAcentral
GAUGAACGCUGGCGGCGUGCCUAAUACAUGCAAGUCGAGCGAACAGAUAAGGAGCUUGCUCCUUUGACGUUAGCGGCGGACGGGUGAGUAACACGUGGGUAACCUACCUAUAAGACUGGGAUAACUUCGGGAAACCGGAGCUAAUACCGGAUAACAUUUGGAACCGCAUGGUUCUAAAGUGAAAGAUGGUUUUGCUAUCACUUAUAGAUGGACCCGCGCCGUAUUAGCUAGUUGGUAAGGUAACGGCUUACCAAGGCAACGAUACGUAGCCGACCUGAGAGGAUGAUCAGCCACACUGGAACUGAGACACGGUCCAGACUCCUACGGGAGGCAGCAGUGGGGAAUAUUGGACAAUGGGCGAAAGCCUGACGCAGCCAUGCCGCGUGAGUGAUGAAGGUCUUCGGAUUGUAAAGCACUUUUAGUUGGGAAGAAGGGCAGUAAGUUAAUACCUUGAUGUUUUGACGUUACCAACAGAGAAAGCACCGGCUAACUUCGUG